CGGUUGAUCCUGCCGGAGGUUACUGCUAUCGGGGUUCGAUUAAGCCAUGCAAGUUAAAUGUUUUUCGUAAACAUAGCGAACUGCUCAGUAACACGUGGAUAACUUAACCUUAGGUCCGGCAUAACCCCGGGAAACUGGGGAUAAUUCCGGAUGUAUCAAGGAUGCUGGAAUGCCCUUUGGUUCAAAGCUUUUGUGCCUAAGGAUAGGUCUGCGGUCUAUCAGGUAGUAGUGGGUGUAACGUACCUACUAGCCGACGACGGAUACGGGUUGUGAGAGCAAGAGCCCGGAGAUGGAUUCUGAGACACGAAUCCAGGCCCUACGGGGUGCAGCAGGCGCGAACACUUUACAAUGCGGGAAACCGCGAUAAGGGAACCCCGAGUGCCAGUACUAAGUGCUGGCUGUCUAGAUGAAUAGAUAUCAUUUAAUAGCAAGGGCCGGGCAAGACCGGUGCCAGCCGCCGCGGUAACACCGGCGGCCCGAGUGGUAACCGAUAUUAUUGGGUCUAAAGGGUCCGUAGCCUGUUUAAUAAGUCCUUUGGGAAAUCUGGCAGCUUAACUGUCAGGCUGCUAAAGGAUACUGUUAAACUUGGGACCGGUAGACGUAGGGGGUACUCCAGGGGUAGGAGUGAAAUCUUGUAAUCCCUGGGGGACCAUCUGUGGCGAAGGCGCCCUACGAGAACGGGUCCGACGGUGAGGGACGAAAGCUAGGGGAGCAAACCGGAUUAGAUACCCGGGUAGUCCUAGCUGUAAACGAUGCUCGCUAGGUGUC
RNAcentral lists this ribosomal RNA (768 nucleotides) under uncultured archaeon. RNAcentral describes it as "bacterial SSU rRNA". It matches the Rfam family "Archaeal small subunit ribosomal RNA", at positions 5 to 775 of the family's 1478-position model. The record is from RNAcentral.